ACCUCUCUCUCUCUCCACGUUAAAAAGAGAACAAUAAAAAUGAGAAUAAAAAUUGAAGCGUGAAGUUGAAAUUUAAACACAAAAAUACAAUAAAACAUCACCUAAAAGUAGGUAUUUUGAAAGCGGAUAUUUUGUCACCACUCCAACUCUCAUGGUCGAUUUCCAAUUCAUUUCUCUACUUUUCCAAAUCAAAAUACAAAAC
This 202-nucleotide long non-coding RNA is filed under the name Lathyrus oleraceus (garden pea). RNAcentral describes it as "Pisum sativum (pea) long non-coding RNA (PSAT_LNC019030)". The record is from RNAcentral. Lineage: Eukaryota; Viridiplantae; Streptophyta; Magnoliopsida; Fabales; Fabaceae.